Molecule: ribosomal RNA, 502 nt
Filed under: uncultured bacterium
Lineage: Bacteria
Description: bacterial SSU rRNA
Rfam family: Bacterial small subunit ribosomal RNA
Source: RNAcentral
CGUCGAGGACGAACGCGUGGCGGCGUGCCUAACACAUGCAAGUCGAGCGGAGUGACAAGAGGAAGUUUCGGAUGGAAGUUUGUUAAUUAGCGGCGGACGGGUGAGUAACGCGUGAGCGACCAACCUUGCACAGGGGGAUAACGGACCGAAAGGUUCACUAAUACCGCAUGAGACCACGGUGUUGCAUGACACAGGGGUCAAAGGAGUAAUCCGGUGCAAGACGGGCUCGCGUCCGAUUAGGUAGUUGGAGGGGUAACGGCCCACCAAGCCUAUGAUCGGUAGCCGACCUGAGAGGGUGAUCGGCCACAUUGGAACUGAGAUACGGUCCAAACUCCUACGGGAGGCAGCAGUGGGGAAUAUUGGGCAAUGGGGGGAAAAACCCCUGACCCAGCAACGCCGCGUGAAGGAAGAAGGUUUUCGGAUUGUAAACUUCUGUCCUUGGUGAAGAGAAGAAGACGGUAGCCAAGGAGGAAGCCCCGGCUAACUACGUGCCAGCAGCCGC